GGGGAUUUAGCUCAGUGGUAGAGCGCUUGCCUAGCAAGCGCAAGGCCCUGGGUUCGCUCCCAGCUCCG
RNAcentral lists this transfer RNA (68 nucleotides) under Rattus norvegicus (Norway rat). It matches the Rfam family "tRNA". Rfam says of the family: Transfer RNA (tRNA) molecules are approximately 80 nucleotides in length. Their secondary structure includes four short double-helical elements and three loops (D, anti-codon, and T loops). Lineage: Eukaryota; Metazoa; Chordata; Mammalia; Rodentia; Muridae. The record is from Rfam by way of RNAcentral.